RNAcentral lists this ribosomal RNA (522 nucleotides) under uncultured bacterium. RNAcentral describes it as "bacterial SSU rRNA". It matches the Rfam family "Archaeal small subunit ribosomal RNA", at positions 725 to 1243 of the family's 1478-position model. The record is from RNAcentral.
AGUAAAUAGAUACCCCGGUAGUCCUAGCCGUAAACGAUACUCGCUAGGUGUCGGCCACGGUGCGACCGUUGUCGGUGCCGUAGGGAAAGCCGUGAAGCGAGCCACCUGGGAAGUACGGCCGCAAGGCUGAAACUUAAAGGAAUUGGCGGGGGAGCACCACAACGGGUGGAGCUUGCGGUUUAAUUGGAUUCAACGCCGGAAAUCUUACCGGGACCGACAGCAAUAUGAAGGCCAGGCUGAAGACUUUGCCGGAUUAGCUGAGAGGUGGUGCAUGGCCGUCGUCAGUUCGUACUGUGAAAGCAUCCUGUUAAGUCAGGCAACGAGCGAGACCCACGCCCACAGUUGCCAGCGUACUCUCCGGAGUGACGGGUACACUGUGGGGACCGCCGCUGCUAAAGCGGAGGAAGGAAUGGGCAACGGUAGGUCAGUAUGCCCCGAAUAUCCCGGGCUACACGCGAGCUACAAUGGUUGGUACAAUGGGUAUCUACCCCGAAAGGGGAUGGAAAUCUCCUAAAGCCAAUC